This 468-nucleotide ribosomal RNA is filed under the name uncultured bacterium. RNAcentral's name for it is "partial 16S ribosomal RNA". It matches the Rfam family "Bacterial small subunit ribosomal RNA", at positions 28 to 507 of the family's 1533-position model. The record is from RNAcentral.
GACGAACGCUGGCGGCGUGCUUAACACAUGCAAGUCGAACGGAAAGGCCCUGCUUUUGUGGGGUGCUCGAGUGGCGAACGGGGGAGUAACACGUGAGUAACCUGCCCUUGACUUUGGGAUAACUUCAGGAAACUGGGGCUAAUACCGGAUAGGAGCUCCUGCUGCAUGGUGGGGGUUGGAAAGUUUCGGCGGUUGGGGAUGGACUCGCGGCUUAUCAGCUUGUUGGUGGGGUAGUGGCUUACCAAGGCUUUGACGGGUAGCCGGCCUGAGAGGGUGACCGGCCACAUUGCGACUGAGAUACGGCCCAGACUCCUACGGGAGGCAGCAGUGGGGAAUAUUGCACAAUGGGCGGAAGCCUGAUGCAGCAACGCCGCGUGCGGGAUGACGGCCUUCGGGUUGUAAACCGCUUUCGCCUGUGACGAAGCGUGAGUGACGGUAAUGGGUAAAGAAGCACCGGCUAACUACGUG